Molecule: ribosomal RNA, 266 nt
Filed under: uncultured bacterium
Lineage: Bacteria
Description: partial 16S ribosomal RNA
Rfam family: Bacterial small subunit ribosomal RNA
Source: RNAcentral
UACGGGGGGGGCAAGGCGUUGUUCGGAAUUACUGGGCGUAAAGGGCGCGUAGGCGGUUCGCUAAGUUGAAUGUGAAAACUCUGGGCUUAACCCAGAGCCUGCAUUCAAUACUGGCGGGCUAGAGUUCUGGAGGGGAGUAGCGGAAUUCCGUGGUGUAGCGGUGAAAUGCGUAGGAUAAUCAGGAGGAACACCGGUGGCGAAGGCGGGCUAGUCGUGGAAGCAGGAGUUGCUGACGCUGAGGCGCGAAAGCUAGGGGAGCAAACAGG